GUGGGGAAUAUUGGGCAAUGGGCGAAAGCCUGACCCAGCAACGCCGCGUGAAGGAAGAAGGUUUUCGGAUCGUAAACUUCUAUCCUUGGUGAAGAUAAUGACGGUAGCCAAGAAGGAAGCCCCGGCUAACUACGUGCCAGCAGCCGCGGUAAUACGUAGGGGGCAAGCGUUGUCCGGAAUGAUUGGGCGUAAAGGGCGCGUAGGCGGCCCGGUAAGUCUGAAGUGAAAGUCCUGCUUUUAAGGUGGGAAUUGCUUUGGAUACUGUCGGGCUUGAGUGCAGGAGAGGUAAGCGGAAUUCCCGGUGUAGCGGUGAAAUGUGUAGAGAUCGGGAGGAACACCAGUGGCGAAGGCGGCUUACUGGACUGUAACUGACGCUGAGGCGCGAAAGUGUGGGGAGCAAACAGGAUUAGAAACCCGGGUAGUCC
Molecule: ribosomal RNA, 425 nt
Filed under: uncultured bacterium
Lineage: Bacteria
Description: partial 16S ribosomal RNA
Rfam family: Bacterial small subunit ribosomal RNA
Source: RNAcentral